This 1145-nucleotide long non-coding RNA is filed under the name Salmo salar (Atlantic salmon). RNAcentral describes it as "lncRNA (ENSSSAG00000088648.1)". Lineage: Eukaryota; Metazoa; Chordata; Actinopteri; Salmoniformes; Salmonidae. The record is from RNAcentral.
AUGGCUAAAACAACAACAACAACACAGAACAUUCCGGCGGCGGGCCGGCGUCAUGGCAACGCCCUUGCAUGGCAAUCCAAUUUAUUGAACUACAGAUGCUGGGUUAUACAAAAUACACCACUUCAAUUAAGGCUUUUAGUUUACAUUUGGCCACCCCUCUUUUCCCUCCCCACCCCUCCCCUUGCCCAUCCCAUAAUAGGCAGAUGACGUUGCAUUUCCAAUACUGUGGCUCUGUAAGGGGGACAUGGUACACAUGGUCUAUCCACCAGGACUGAUGCUGUUGGUUAGCAUCACAGCAACACAAAGCAACAAAGGCAUUCUCUUACAAGAGGUCAACAGAGGUCACGCAACUCACAACAAACGUGCAACUUUAACCCCCCCUCCCCUCCCUCCCUGCGUCUCAAAUGGCAACCUAAGCCCAUAGGGCUGUGGUCAAAAGUAGUGCACUAUGUAGGGAAUAGGGUGCCAUUGGGGACGCACACCCCGUCUCAUCCAAGUUCUGCCUGUUCCUCCUCCUCCUCCUCAUCAUCUCUACAUUGCUGUGGUUCUUAUUGUAUUUCAGUCUUAUUCCCUGCUGCUUCAAACACAUUAGUUUGUCCCCCCUCCCCCCACAUUCACUAUAGAACAGAUAACCCCACACGGUUACUCUUCAUCACUAUCAUCAUCAUCACCAUCAUCAUCAUCCGACAGACUGACAGGAAACAGGUGAAAUAGUCACUAACAGGCAAGUUUCUUUACUGACAGGAUCCAAUAUUUGGUUUUCAUAUCCUCAGCUGACAACAGAUGCAUUAGCAAGGGGACAGGGGAGGGGCUGGGGAAGAGGGGAGGGGCAAGGGCUUGGGGAGAGGGGAGGGGCUAGGGGAGAGGAGUGAGAUGGGGAAAGAGACUAGAGGACAGGGGGAGAUAGGGGAGAGGGGCUAGGGGAGGGGCUGGGGAAGAGGGGAGAGGGGCUAGGGGAGAGGGGCUAGGGGAGAGGAGUGAGAUGGGGAAAGAGACUAGAGGACAGGGGGAGAUAGGGGAGAGGGGCUAGGGGAGGGGCUGGGGAAGAGGGGAGAGGGGCUAGGGGAGGGGCUGGGGAAGAGGGGCUAGGGGAGAGGGGCUAGGGGAGAGGAGUGAGAUGGGGAAAGAGACUAGAGGACAGGGGG